This 508-nucleotide ribosomal RNA is filed under the name uncultured bacterium. RNAcentral describes it as "partial 16S ribosomal RNA". It matches the Rfam family "Bacterial small subunit ribosomal RNA", at positions 28 to 507 of the family's 1533-position model. The record is from RNAcentral.
GACGAACGCUGGCGGCGUGCCUAAUACAUGCAAGUCGAACGCUUCUUUCCUCCCGAGUGCUUGCACUCAAUUGGAAAGAGGAGUUGCGGACGGGUGAGUAACACGUCGGUAACCUACCCAUCAGCGGGGGAUAACACUUGGAAACAGGUGCUAAUACCGCAUAACAGUUUAUGCCGUAUGGCAUAAGAGUGAAAGGCGCUUUCGUGUGUCGCUGAUGGAUGGACCCGCGGUGCAUUAGCUAGUUGGUGAGGUAACGGCUCACCAAGGCGACGAUGCAUAGCCGACCUGAGAGGGUGAUCGGCCACACUGGAACUGAGACACGGCCCAGACUCCUACGGGAGGCAGCAGUAGGGAAUCUUCGGCAAUGGACGAAAGUCUGACCGAGCAACGCCGCGUGAGUGAAGAAGGUUUUCGGAUCGUAAAACUCUGUUGUUAGAGAAGAACAAGGGCGUUAGUAACUGAACGUCCCCUGACGGUAUCUAACCAGAAAGCCACGGCUAACUACGUG